RNAcentral lists this long non-coding RNA (203 nucleotides) under Gossypium raimondii (Peruvian cotton). Its description in RNAcentral is "long non-coding RNA (GRAI_LNC001627)". The record is from RNAcentral. Lineage: Eukaryota; Viridiplantae; Streptophyta; Magnoliopsida; Malvales; Malvaceae.
UUUGGUGGAUGAUGAUGAUAAUAGAUGAUAUUUGUUUAUUUUAUUAAUUUUAAUAUAACUUUAAUUGCUAAUUUCCAAAAUUACCCUUAAUAAUUUAUUAAAUUUCCAAUGAUGACUAUUCAUGCUUAACCACUAAGCAUUUUAAUGGUCUAUUUACUAUAUAAGGACCUCCAAUUUAAAAUUCUAUAGCUAUUUAAUACAUU